Setaria italica (foxtail millet) is the source of this 205-nucleotide long non-coding RNA. RefSeq lists it as uncharacterized. The transcript is spliced from 3 exons. The record is from RefSeq and is a predicted model, not a curated record. NCBI's taxonomy places the organism in Eukaryota, Viridiplantae, Streptophyta, Magnoliopsida, Poales, Poaceae.
UGCAGCUGGUAGUUGCAUUCCAAGUCCUCAAAAGAAUGUUGGGAAAGACUUCUUGAAGAAAUAUUGGUCCAGGUGGAAAGCGGACCAUGUAGGUCGUUGUCGGGCAAUGCCUCACAUAAAAACGUUUACUCGUUACAGUGGUCAAAACAUUGCAUGGUUUCUGCUUACGUCAUCAAAUUUAAGCAAAGCUGCUUGGGGUGCGCUG